This 422-nucleotide long non-coding RNA is filed under the name Numida meleagris (helmeted guineafowl). RNAcentral describes it as "lncRNA (ENSNMEG00000000702.1)". The record is from RNAcentral. Lineage: Eukaryota; Metazoa; Chordata; Aves; Galliformes; Numididae.
AUGUGGGGCAGGAGGGUGCAGCCCUUGGCCGCGCCAUGGGGGCACUGGUUGUUACUGGUUGUUACUGGUUGGUGCUACUGGUUGUUACUGGUUGUUACUGGUGUUGGUGUUGGCGUUGGUGUUGGUGGUGUUGGAGCUGGUGUUGGUGUUGGUGUUGGUGCUGGUGUUGGUGUUGGUGUCAGCAUCAGCGUUGGUGCUGGUGCUGGUGUUGGUGAUGUUGGUGUUGGUGCUGGUGUUGGUGGUGUUGGUGUUGGUGUCAGUGUUGGCGUCGGUGUCGGUGGUGUUGGUGAUGUUGGUGUCGGUGUUGGUGUCGGUGUUGGUGUUGGUGAUGUUGGUGUUGGUGUUGGUGGUGUUGUUGGUGCUGGUGCUGGUUGUUACCGGCGGCGAUGUCGGGCAGCAUGGCGCAGCUCUUGGCCACGCGC